GACGAACGCUGGCGGCGUGCUUAACACAUGCAAGUCGAACGGGCCUUGUCCCCUUUUUUUUUGGGGGUGGGGUUAGUGGCGAACGGGUGAGUAACACGUGAGUAACCUGCCCCUCACUUCUGGAUAACCGCUUGAAAGGGUGGCUAAUACGGGGUGUUCUGGCCUGCUCGCAUGGGUGGGUUUGGAAAGAUUCGACCGGUUUUGGUUGUUUUGGUGGGGGAUGGGCUCGCGGCCUAUCAGCUUGUUGGUGGGGUGAUGGCCUGCCAAGGCUUUGACGGGUGGGCGGGCUGGGAGGGUGGGCCGUCACCCGGGGACUGAGGCACGGGCCAGACUCCUAAGGGAGGCAGCAGUGGGGAAUAUUGCACAAUGGGCGCAAGGCUGAUGCAGCGACGCCGCGGGAGGGAUGGAGGCCUUCGGGUUGUGAACCUCUUUCGCCAGUGAAGAAGGUCCUGCUCUUUGUGGUGGGGUUGACGGUAGCUGGGUUAAUGAAGCGCCGGCUAACUACGUG
Molecule: ribosomal RNA, 508 nt
Filed under: uncultured bacterium
Lineage: Bacteria
Description: partial 16S ribosomal RNA
Rfam family: Bacterial small subunit ribosomal RNA
Source: RNAcentral